Small nuclear RNA from Otolemur garnettii (small-eared galago), 107 nucleotides. The record is from Ensembl. NCBI's taxonomy places the organism in Eukaryota, Metazoa, Chordata, Mammalia, Primates, Galagidae.
GUGCUUGCUUCGGCAGCACUUAUACUAAAAUUGGAAGAAUACAGAGAAGAUUAGCACGGCCCCUGUGCAAGGAUGACACACAAAUUCAUGAAGCAUUCCAUAUUUAA